GAAGCAAGCCAGUAAGCAGCACCCCUCCAUGGCCUCUGCAUCAGCUCCUUCCUCCAGGUUCCAUCCCUGCUUGAGUUUCUGUCCUGCACCUUCAAUAAUGGACUACAGUGUGGAAGUGUAAGCCAGAGAAACUUGUUCAAGCUCUCUAACUUUUGGUCAUGGUGUUUUAUCAUAGCAAUAGUAUCCAUAAGAUAAGUUGGUACCAGGAUAGUGGAGUAUUUUGCUGAGACAAAAAGAUGUUGGUCAGCUGAAGCCAAGAAAUUGCCAGAGAUUAAGAAGAGACCAGCAUCACCGAGGUGCAAUCUUCUGGGAAGUGUUUAUACAACAUCAGCACACAGAAGUUGUGCUCCAGAGUCAGCCAAGGUUGCAUCUUGUGCUGGCAGCUAGACUUGGUAGCAUAAGAGUCACCCAGACGGUACUGGCUUUGAAGGGCUAAAGAGGUCAUGGAGAACAGCUGAGGCUUGGCAUCGUGAAAGGCCACAAUGGGCACUGGAGUAGGUGGUGUCUCCGUGUCAAAGCUCCAGAAUUAAAAGGUCAUGAAGAGAAGUUGAGGCUUGGCACCAUGAACCUAAGAGAGGCUGUUGGUGAAAGCAGAGCCCAGUUGCAGCAGAAGACCCCAGCAUUUUGGAGAUGCCAGUAUCGUAGGACAACCACCAAGACAGCAGCAGUGGUGGAGUGGAGCCGGCUCGAGCCUAGAAAACAAGCCAGGUACUCGGUGACUACUUCUCAUACAAGCUACAGGAGCUGCCUCUGCUGUGCUUGGUGCUGCAGGCUGGUGACCAGGAGCAGAGGGAAGCAAGGGUAUGUAAACAUGAAGGCUUCCAGGAGAAAGCUCUCAUCCUGCCAGCUGGAGGAGCGCUUGGACAUGGUUUACCCAAACAGUCAUUGCCAUGGAGACAAGGAAGUCUGAAGUGCUGUUGCCAGCAGCAUCCAGCAUGGCUCCAAUGUGGGAAAAGACUUGGCUUCAUGGGUCCUCAGAGAGACGAUCUGAAACUCACCGAGAGCGGGGAGCUGGAGCUGAGGGGCUGGCGGACUCUCUCAGCCCAAGCACAGCCAAGCCUCAUGCAGCUGCCCAAUUCUGGAUCCCUGGGCCAGCCUCUCGCAGCAGGGGGUAGAGAGGCCAAGCAUUUUUGGUUAAGCAGGCCACAGCCAAGUUGCUCAUUAAAAAAAAAAAAAAAAAAAAAAGUCUAGGACAAAGGGCCUCUCUGCAGGCUGGUGUACUUGAUCCUGAAAAUGGCUUCUCAGACAGAACUGGGUCCCACUUCUCUAAGCUUGGAAGAGUCAAGGUAAGGCUGAAGCAGGAUGCCAGUUGGAACGUGGAUUCCUGUUAUACCAAAAAACAAAACAGAGCCUUCCUGGAGACCAAAGAGGGUGUAGUUUCUAGGAGUUGGUGACAGAUCAGAAAACCAAAAUGUCCCCAGUGAUCUACCAUUGUAAUCAGAGUGGUUAGGGACACAACCUAGCAUCUCUAACAAGUUAGAUUCAGUGACCCAUCCUCAACAAACCAAUUUAAGAAACAAGUCAUCAUAAAACCAUAAAAGAGAUGUACUCAAUGUGAUUCUAUUGGAAAGAGGAACGAAGAGGUCUGGUGGUCCCAAGUCCAUCAGAGCUCCAGCCUGAGCUGUACACACAGAGGGCAGGAAGGGUAAGCAUAACGCUGGCCAUCCUUGAGCUCUCACUGUCUGAGCUCCAGUCUCCUUCAAAGUGGUCUGAUGAGUUGUCAACACUGUGAAAUCUGUGGGAGUCAAUUUCCACUCUGGCUGCAGAGAUUAGACUCAACAGAAAGAUUGCUGAGAUUUGUGCCCUGCUCAAAGUAUCUUUAUGCUUUGUAAAACACUUUUUCAAAUUGUUCCUUUCUCCAAGAGACUCCCAGUUUACACACAGCUUAUGACACCAUUUUGAAAAUGGAAUCUGGCUGUGAACUUGGGCAGACAGGUGAAUGGUACCAUCUUUCUGGUGCUGCUGAUGUAGUAGAAACUGGCAAAUCCCUUGUCCCUGGGAGUAGAAAGAGUGCCGCUCUAUAAACUGAAUGGGGUUUGUCAGGGCUGUGAUGCCAAAGCCCAGCCUCAGCUUGGUCAGGAGUCCUGAAGAAGGGCAGAAAGAACUCAAAUUGUCGGUGCAAGCUGACAGCCUCAUAGUCUGCUCGAGAGGGCUCCCUGGACAGCUUACUGUAGAUAGCUUUUGGCUCUGUUGUCUGCUCGGGACAGCUCUCUGCAUGAGACGGCUCUCUCUACUCUAGAAGCUCUCUGGGUAGCUCAUAAGUUUUCCGACCAAAGUCAGAAAAGCUGCU
RNAcentral lists this long non-coding RNA (2290 nucleotides) under Mus musculus (house mouse). Its description in RNAcentral is "predicted gene 5608". Lineage: Eukaryota; Metazoa; Chordata; Mammalia; Rodentia; Muridae. The record is from RNAcentral.